Molecule: small RNA, 441 nt
Filed under: Pongo abelii (Sumatran orangutan)
Lineage: Eukaryota; Metazoa; Chordata; Mammalia; Primates; Hominidae
Description: processed transcript
Source: RNAcentral
GUGAUGACAUUCAGCUUGGCUGUUGGGUGUAGUACCGGAAAGAGCUGAACUUCGUUUCUGCCUCUGGCUCUCCCACUUAUUGGCUUUGGGACCUUGAGCAAGUUACCUAACAACUUUGCUUUCCUUGUCUGCAAAAAUGGAAUAAUUGUCCAGCCCUCCACACACAAGCUUAUAGUUCCUUAAGGCCAGGAACCCAGAAGGUGUGCAGGUACAGUAUAUCAGAAGUAUGAGCCGAUCUUUUUCCAGUCCAUUGGAAAUCCAUUUAUUUUUAGAUGCCUGGAUGGGGUACUCAUUGAUGGGAAUGACAAAGGGAUAUCAAAAGUUGUGUACAGAUCUUGCAACGGGAGGGAUCGACUCGGCCCUUUAAAAAUGAGUGACAGUACAUGGUUAACAUCAGAAAUUCAUAACCCUCUGGCUGUGGGACAGUAUGUCAACAAUUGU